Molecule: ribosomal RNA, 1356 nt
Filed under: Lates calcarifer (barramundi perch)
Lineage: Eukaryota; Metazoa; Chordata; Actinopteri; Centropomidae
Description: partial 16S ribosomal RNA
Rfam family: Bacterial large subunit ribosomal RNA
Source: RNAcentral
AAGCAGAGAUUAAACCUCGUACCUUUUGCAUCAUGACUUAGCUAGCACCCCCAAGCAAAGAGCAUCUUUAGUUUGGCACCCCGAAACUAGUGUGAGCUACUCCAAGACAGCCUAUUCAAUAGGGCAAACCCGUCUCUGUGGCAAAAGAGUGGGAAGAGCUUUGAGUAGAGGUGACAGACCUACCGAACCUAGUUAUAGCUGGUUGCCUGAGAACUGGAUAGAAGUUCAGCCUCCCGGCUUCUCCAUUCAUAUACUAUUCCAAUAUGACUGCCCCCAGAUCUAGAAGAAACCCGCGAGAGUUAUUCUAAGGAGGUACAGCUCCUUUGAACCAAAAUACAAUUUUAUAAGGAGGGUAAAGAUCAUAAUCUUAACCAAGGCAGAAUGUCCUAGUGGGCCUAAAAGCAGCCACCCCUUUCAGAAAGCGUUAAAGCUCAGACAUACCUCUCCGCCCUAUAUCCCGAUAAUCUAAUCUUAACCCCCUAGCCCUAUCAGGCCGUUCCAUGCAAACAUGGAAGCGAUAAUGCUAACAUGAGUAACAAGAGGAUUUAUUUUAUCUGCGCUCCUCUCCCAGCACACGUGUACAUCGAAACGGACCAACCACCGAAACUUAACGGCCCCAAACAAAGAGGGAAUUGAAAGACAAACAUGAUAUACUAGAAAAUCAUCCAGCACGCAACCGUUAACCCCACACUGGUGUGCCAUUAAAGGAAAGACUAAAAGAAAAAGAAGGAACUCGGCAAACACAAGCCUCGCCUGUUUACCAAAAACAUCGCCUCUUGUACAACCACAUUAAAACAAAUAAGAGGUCCCGCCUGCCCAGUGACAACUGGUUCAACGGCCGCGGUAUUUUGACCGUGCAAAGGUAGCGUAAUCACUUGUCUUUUAAAUGAAGACCUGUAUGAAUGGCAUCACGAGGGCUUAGCUGUCUCCUUUUUCUAAGUCAGUGAAAUUGAUCUCCCCGUGCAGAAGCGGGGAUAAAAACAUAAGACGAGAAGACCCUAUGGAGCUUUAGACACCAGAAUAGCACAUGUUAAGACACCCUGAAUAAAGAACUGAACUUAAUGGCCCCCCUAUUCCAAUGUCUUCGGUUGGGGCGACCAUGAGGAACAAAAACCCCUCAUGUGGAAUGGGAGUACCACAACCCACACACUAUUUUUCCUAUACUCCUACAACCAAGAGCUACAACUCAAACUGACAGAAAUUCUGACCAACAAUGAUCCGGCAAUGCCGAUCAACGGACCAAGUUACCCUAGGGAUAACAGCGCAAUCCCCUUUUAGAGCCCAUAUCGACAAGGGGGUUUACGACCUCGAUGUUGGAUCAGGACAUCCUAAUGGUGCAGCCGCUAUUAAGGGUUC